RNAcentral lists this ribosomal RNA (466 nucleotides) under uncultured bacterium. Its description in RNAcentral is "partial 16S ribosomal RNA". It matches the Rfam family "Bacterial small subunit ribosomal RNA", at positions 29 to 507 of the family's 1533-position model. The record is from RNAcentral.
AUGAACGCUGGCGGCGUGCUUAACACAUGCAAGUCGAACGGAAAGGCUCCUGCUUGCAGGGGUACUCGAGUGGCGAACGGGUGAGUAACACGUGGGUGAUCUGCCCUGCACUUCGGGAUAAGCCUGGGAAACUGGGUCUAAUACCGGAUAGGACCACAUUUUGGCUGGUGUGGUGGAAAGUUUUUCGGUGUGGGAUGAGCUCGCGGCCUAUCAGCUUGUUGGUGGGGUAAUGGCCUACCAAGGCGUCGACGGGUAGCCGGCCUGAGAGGGUGUACGGCCACAUUGGGACUGAGAUACGGCCCAGACUCCUACGGGAGGCAGCAGUGGGGAAUAUUGCACAAUGGGCGCAAGCCUGAUGCAGCGACGCCGCGUGGGGGAUGACGGCCUUCGGGUUGUAAACUCCUGUCGCUAGGGACGAAGCGUUUUUGUGACGGUACCUGGAGAAGAAGCACCGGCUAACUACGUG